RNAcentral lists this ribosomal RNA (1336 nucleotides) under Bacillus tequilensis. Its description in RNAcentral is "bacterial SSU rRNA". It matches the Rfam family "Bacterial small subunit ribosomal RNA", at positions 86 to 1407 of the family's 1533-position model. The record is from RNAcentral. Lineage: Bacteria; Bacillati; Bacillota; Bacilli; Caryophanales; Bacillaceae.
CUGAUGUUAGCGGCGGACGGGUGAGUAACACGUGGGUAACCUGCCUGUAAGACUGGGAUAACUCCGGGAAACCGGGGCUAAUACCGGAUGGUUGUUUGAACCGCAUGGUUCAAACAUAAAAGGUGGCUUCGGCUACCACUUACAGAUGGACCCGCGGCGCAUUAGCUAGUUGGUGAGGUAACGGCUCACCAAGGCAACGAUGCGUAGCCGACCUGAGAGGGUGAUCGGCCACACUGGGACUGAGACACGGCCCAGACUCCUACGGGAGGCAGCAGUAGGGAAUCUUCCGCAAUGGACGAAAGUCUGACGGAGCAACGCCGCGUGAGUGAUGAAGGUUUUCGGAUCGUAAAGCUCUGUUGUUAGGGAAGAACAAGUACCGUUCGAAUAGGGCGGUACCUUGACGGUACCUAACCAGAAAGCCACGGCUAACUACGUGCCAGCAGCCGCGGUAAUACGUAGGUGGCAAGCGUUGUCCGGAAUUAUUGGGCGUAAAGGGCUCGCAGGCGGUUUCUUAAGUCUGAUGUGAAAGCCCCCGGCUCAACCGGGGAGGGUCAUUGGAAACUGGGGAACUUGAGUGCAGAAGAGGAGAGUGGAAUUCCACGUGUAGCGGUGAAAUGCGUAGAGAUGUGGAGGAACACCAGUGGCGAAGGCGACUCUCUGGUCUGUAACUGACGCUGAGGAGCGAAAGCGUGGGGAGCGAACAGGAUUAGAUACCCUGGUAGUCCACGCCGUAAACGAUGAGUGCUAAGUGUUAGGGGGUUUCCGCCCCUUAGUGCUGCAGCUAACGCAUUAAGCACUCCGCCUGGGGAGUACGGUCGCAAGACUGAAACUCAAAGGAAUUGACGGGGGCCCGCACAAGCGGUGGAGCAUGUGGUUUAAUUCGAAGCAACGCGAAGAACCUUACCAGGUCUUGACAUCCUCUGACAAUCCUAGAGAUAGGACGUCCCCUUCGGGGGCAGAGUGACAGGUGGUGCAUGGUUGUCGUCAGCUCGUGUCGUGAGAUGUUGGGUUAAGUCCCGCAACGAGCGCAACCCUUGAUCUUAGUUGCCAGCAUUCAGUUGGGCACUCUAAGGUGACUGCCGGUGACAAACCGGAGGAAGGUGGGGAUGACGUCAAAUCAUCAUGCCCCUUAUGACCUGGGCUACACACGUGCUACAAUGGACAGAACAAAGGGCAGCGAAACCGCGAGGUUAAGCCAAUCCCACAAAUCUGUUCUCAGUUCGGAUCGCAGUCUGCAACUCGACUGCGUGAAGCUGGAAUCGCUAGUAAUCGCGGAUCAGCAUCGCCGCGGUGAAUACGUUCCCGGGCCUUGUACACACCGCCCGUCACACCACGA